CUUAUGAACCUUUAGGUUUUUCGUUUCUUUUGCUUGACCGUAGCUAUGUUUUGGCAAGAGAUGGAUGGGGGAAGCAGCUUAUUUAUUUAUUUUCUAACAGUCUUUGUUUAGAUGUACUAAAAUAGAUUUUAUUACAUAAAAUGUUGUUAAUUGGUGUAUUACACAUUUUUUUGAAUAGUGUAUUACUAAAUUUUUGUGGAAUAUGGGACUAGAAAGAUAAUCAGUAACCUAUAUCUAAGCCCCUUCUUACCACACUAUGUGGAAUUAAAAUAUUCUGUUUUGUUAUUUUCAUUAUCCUUUUUUAUCUUUCUUAUUUAAAUUUUUUUAAAUGUUUGUUUAUUUUUGAGAGAGACAGAGACAGAAUGUGAGUGGGUUAGAGGCAGAGAGAGGGAGACCGAGAAUCCGAAGCACGCUCCAGGCUCUGAGCUGUCAGCACAGAGCCCAGUGCGGGGCUUGAACUCUUGAACCUUGAGAUCAUGACCUGAGCCAAAGUCAGAUGCUCAAGCGACUGAGCCACCCAGGCACCCCUGUCUUUCUUAUUUAAAGUGUUAUAUGCAUAACUUUAAAAACAGUGAGCUGAAUUCAAAUGGUGAUAAUUUUUAUAGAAUUGAUUGAUGCCCCUUAAAUGUCUGUGAAUACAUCCUUGAAAAUCUUAAACCAGGACUGUGAGGCACUUUUCUAACCAGUCCUAAACUUUUGACUAUCAUUUAUUGAAUGCCAAACAAGCGUGGACUUUUAUAUCAAUCAAACCAGGAUCAAAAACUAAAACCUUGAAAGGCAAAUAUUUACUUCAUUUAUCUCUGGACAUAGCACAGACUUAAUUGGAAUCAUAAGUUGAUGAAUUGGAAUCAUAAGCUGAUGGGUGAUUGUUUCCUAUCGGAAGAGCAGGGCACACAAUCCCAAUUCUAUUUUACUGUCCAUGAAGUUGCCCGGAGCUAAGGGUUCCAGCUCCUGGCUGCAGAUAAGAGCUAUUGAAACCUUAGAUGUUAAGCUGUAAGGUUAGCUCUUUUUUAGGUAGUUGCCACAAGUUUGGCUGGCAGCUCUUGCCUGUUCUGGAACCUUUCCCUUCUUAACUUCAUUGUUCCUCCCUGUGACUUAAUUCGCACUAGCAGCUUCCUCUCGUGUGUCUUAAAGCUUUGGUGACGUGGUUGUGGAUCUCAUUAACCAAACUUAAUUUAUGAGAAUUAGGAUUUCUGUUUUCAAAUCAGAUAAAUUAGGGACUGGCAUGUAAUUUUUUUUUUUUUUUUUUUUUUUGGUCAAAUCACCAUGGAUUUUUAAAAAAUAUUUUCCCUUUUUUAGUACAUUUCAAAUCCUUUAGGAUUUAAAAAUAUAUAUAUUUAACUAGAAAGUAGGUAUUAUGUAUAUCAAAGUUUGCCUGAAAAGGAUAAUUCUACAUUUAGAAUGGUGUCAGUAUGUAUGGGUAUGUAAAAAUACGGUUUUGUUUACAGAUUCUUUGACGGUGAGGAAUUUUUUUUCCUUUAUUUAUAUUGAUUUGCUCUAACUAAAGCAUUUGCUCCAUGGGCAUAUUUAAUCUCACUGUUUAGUUAAGUUUACAGAGGAUGGGUUAAAGGUUUGGUUUUUCUGUUGAUGAGUGAUGAGUUGCUUUGGCACGAUGAUCUUUACCAUUCAUUCCUAUGUGCCUUUCCAUGCUCAGUGUGCGGUCUCGGACAGAGCCAGUCCUAAAAUUUUUCAUCAGUAGCUAUAGGUGUUUGUAUGAUGAUUUCAUAGGAAUUGGGGGAUGAAGGGGAAGUGCGGAAAUAAAAUGGGGAUUGAAAGAGCAGUAAUUAGUACUUUAAUAAUAAACACUAAUGUUUGAAGUCGAAUAUAGUUACCAAUCUAUUUUACAUAACAUCUGUAUGUCUUUGCACUUCAUUUACAUCCCAGAAGUCUUCCUGACUUUAGCAAACCAGAUGUGAAUAAUACUUGUAAUAUAUUUAGAUAUUUGAUUUUUGUGUACCCGGCAGGCUAUCGAUUUCUGAGCAAUGUAAUUGAAUUAUUUUAUUAGUUUUAGAUUUCAUUCUCAUGGUUGAAGGCUGAACUUCAAACUUCAUUUUAUUGUAGUAUAGAAAUGUUAAUGAUUUUGAAAAACUAUUUUAGGAGGUGUUAACAAUUGGAAAAAUUUUAAACCAAACGUUGUUUUAAAAGUUGGCAUUUGCUGUAAUAGAACUUUGUUAGGUAUAAUGACUUUUCCACUUUUAUACUCUGAAUGGAAAAUAGAGCCUCUUGUUUGAUGCUGAAACAGGAUCUUAGUGUUCAGGUCAUUUUGGAUGGACAGACUGAUGUUGUCUGUGGAUGAGGGCAUUUGGAUUUAAUAGAUUUGGGAUCACGUCCCAUGCCUCUCUUCAAAAGUUCUUCGCUUUUAGAGAAGUUGUUUAGGUUUUCUGAACUGAACUUUGUGUUUUGCUGUAACAGAGUUGGUGAUAAUAGUUUAGUUACUACCUUACAGGGUUAUUGUAAAGACUAAAUGAGAUCAUUGAUGUGACUGGUUUGUAGUUGAGAAAAAGCAAAAAUAAGUGAAAAUUUUUAGGCUUAAUUUUGUGUGGGUGUGCACACAUUUUCAGUUUAGUGACCGAUGAGAGGAAAAUUUGCUGCCCGGUGCUAAACAAGUUUUAUGCACAAAUUGAUAUUUUUGGGAAAGCUCUUAUUUGAUGCUAAGAGAUACACAUGAGAGAAAUAUAUUUUCAAGAAUGACAUUUUAAGUAUAAAGUUAAGUAAUUAUAGCGUACUUUUUUUCAAGAGAUUAAAAGAUGAUUUAACACGGCGUAUUUUACAUAGCUAAAACGAUUUUAAUAGUGAAGACAAAUGAAUCUAUUGAUGAAUAGAUUUCACCUGUUCGAUUAACAGCAUAUGAUUUCUUGAGCUAUGAUUAUUUUCUGUAGUGAUAGCAAAACUAAAUCAUUUGCCUGGUGGACUCUAAAAGAGUUCUUAAUGUUUGCUAUGAGAUGAUAGGAUAAACUUAGACAAAUUAUAUAUUAUAUAUUAUAUAUGUAUGUAUGUAUGUAUGUAUUUAAACAGUCAGGUCCAAGAAGGUAAAAGAAAUUUAUUCACAUUGUUUUUUUCUUUGUGGUGGCACAUCUUCUGUUGCUCAUAGCCUUAGGAAUAUAAUAAGUAAGACAGAAAACUUUGGCUUUGUCCUAAAGAGUUGUGGCAAAUAACAUCAAACAUAAAAAAUUUCUGGGUUCCUGAAGUAUGUUGAACUUGAAAAAACUUUUCCUUCCAGGAUAUGCUUAAAAACAAACCAGUGAAAAAUGUAUUCCUUUCAAAUAAUUUAGAAAUUAUUCAUGGAGAUUCUAUUCAGUUUCAGCCUACAUUUGAUUACUACAGAAUUUGAAGUUUAUACACUUUAUUUUUUGAAUGCUAGUUUUAGCAAAAUAAUUGAUUGCUCCCAGUAACCGUUUGGACCUUGAAUUUUUUUCUGAUAUCAGGUAUAUAGUAGUUAACAGAAACAUAUUUGCUAGUGCAUUUUCUGAAUUAAUCAGCUGUCUCUUCCUCAUGGGCGAGCCUACCUUGAACGAUACUCCAACAAGCCUCAAAUACUUUUAAAUAUUCUGAUUACUUUUGUAUGUGCUGUUAGCAGAUAUCCAUGUGUGGGCACUCACACAUUGGGAAGUAUAUUAUUUUGACUGCUUUUGUGUUGUUUUGUCUGGAUUUUUCUUUUCUACUUUUAAGCCAGAGAUUCUUUCUUUCUUUCUUUCUUUCUUUUUUUUAAUGUUCUUAUACCACUCACCUAUUUUUCAAGAAAUGCCCUUACCUUUUGAUUUUAAUAGCAAAAAAAUAGAUUUUGUAUAAUAAGAUGAAAUACUUUGAUGCAGGAGAAUAUGUUUUAGCACUUUAAAACUUCCCUGCCCCCUCUUUCCUCAACAUCACCCCCUCCCCUGCCCUCUUUUCACUUCUCCUGGCUCUUCCAGACCUCCUCUUUCCUGUACUUUCCUUGUGAUGUUUCCAUCUAGAGACAAACAGACGAAAAGGCAGGGAAAGGAAUCCCUCAUGUAGAGGAUAAACAGACGUGUGAACAAGUGCUUACAAUGUGAAAGAUAAAGGAAAUCUCUUCCUAGUUUCCCGAAAAAUAUGAUCAUUGGUGGUAAUUUUUUUCGAUUUUUCUCAUAACUUUAGGUGGUGCCUUUUGCCACGUGUCUUGAUAAUGAGGGCUGUCUGAUGGGAAACCCGUAAAAGCAUAUUAAUGAAACAGUUUGGACUUAUCUAAACGUGUAUAAUAGUUUUGCAGCCUUUUUUUGACCCAUAAAAUAUGUAGUCAUUUUCUGUUGGUUUUAUCUGAUGGGGGAGAUAGCAGAAGAUACUGUGUAUUUUGUCAUUUGAAUGUAUUUGAGAAUUGUAUGCAAGGUGAGAAGAGGGAUGUGGUUAGAGUCUUGAGUGUAGGCGUUCGUGGGUGGCUAGAGAAGGAAGAAUGUGUGUAUGGAGACUAAGAAAGAUAAAUGAGAAGUGGGAGCCAGGAUGGUUGGUGUCACCAAAACCAUGGAUUUUUAAAGUUUCAUGAUGAAUCAAUCAGCUGUGUCUGCCACACAGGCCAUGUAAAAUACAUUCUAAGAGGACUAUUAGAUUUGGCUUUCAGCGGUGGGGGGGAUUUGAGGUUGCAGUAGCUUGAGGUAUAAAUGGGGGUUGAAAUGAAGACCCCGAAUGUAGGGUUCUUGCUACAUUUGUUACAAGUCAUUGCAAAGGAAAAACUCCUGCACCUAGGAAGAGAAGAGAGAAGCAUUUAAAGAGGGCCUGUGAUAAAACUGCGUUGUGCUGUCUGUGGUUUUAACAAGUGUCUCAUGUACCACUGCACUCCGUUUUGUUCACAAGCAUUAUGCACAGAGGAAUGUGAAAUCGAGAGACCAGUUCAACCAGAGGUGACGAUAGUUAACUAUAUACUGUCUAGGUAGCUCUUUCACUUUUUUCCCUCUCUUUCCGUUUUCCUUCAUAACCAAAACAGAGUUACCACCACUUCUAAUUUUUUAUUUGUUUUAUUGGUGUUCUGAAAAGAAUACAGUAAAAAACUUACAUUUUCAACAUCAGUAAUUGUCAUAGUUUAAAAAAGAAGUUUCAAUAUGUACUUUCAAGAAAGAAGAUUUUAUAUGUACCUUGUUUUUUAAUGUACUAGAGAGGUUGGAAUAAUAUCAUUGCUAUAAUUCCCUUUUUAAUUCCUGCCAGUGGAUUGAAACUAAGCUGGAAACAAAGCUCUCUUUGUUUAGUAGGCCAUCCAGAAAUAAGGAUGAUCUUCCAUUAAUUAUUUGUCCUUGCAGGACUUAUUUUCAGCAUUGUUUUUUUUCCAAAAUGUCUUUCAGUUUUCAGAUUCUCUGAUUUUAGGAAAACUGUAGAAUCUAGGCAUGCCCCGGAUCAGUUUGUUUACGUUGCCUGCCUAUCUAGCUACAUAUCUGUCUUUCCUUCUUUCUGUCCCUGUGUGUAUAUGUGCAUGUAUAUGUGUGUAUGUACCUGUGUAUGUGUAUUUAUCUUUCCUUCUUCCUUUCCUGGAUGUGCUUGGUUUCAGUGACUCCUUUAUUUACCAACCCAAGGGAUUUGAUAUUACUCUUUCAAUGUGUCUGCAAGUUUUAAAGGAUGUGUUUUGGAGGGAGGGUUUUUGUUAACUUCAGUAAUGAUGUUCAAAAUCAGAUUAGGAAGAGGGGAGAAGAAAUUUUCAGUACCAAGUGGGAGUUAAUUUGAGUUUUUUUUUUGUUUUAUCAUACAGCUGACCACCUCUUUUGCCUUUGCUUAAGAUGUCCUAGCUAAAUGCCACUUGCUUUGUUGGAAAAAAAGUCAACUGAGGGGUCAGGACAUAAAUGAAUGGAGGUUCAAAUGAUUACCCUUUUGGUAGCAUGAAGGAUGUAUGCUUAAUGUACUCAUAUCUCUGGUUUCGUUUAGGAUGUUUAUAUUAAGUUUCUUCAUGUCAGCUUCAGCGAAUCUAAGCAUUAUGGAAGUGUAUUGUGGUACAUCAAAUAGCUAAUUCCCCGAGAUUAAAGUGAUUAUUUUGGAAAUAGGCUGCAUUUUAAGUUGAAUGCUUAUGUAUCUCCUGCUUUGUAAAAUACCCUAGGUUACUUUUGCUGAAGUUUCUUAGAGUUUAGAAGAAAUGUAAAAUGUAUGUGCCUGGGAGGUCAUUUCCACUCAUAAUUAAUUUCUCAUAGCGUAUUGAUAGCAUGUGGGAAACUUUUAUGGCAAGUUAAAAACAGACAUGUCUAAGGGAAAUGGCUGCUCUUGUUUUAUUAUAUUACUAUUUUUAAAAAUGUACACAUCUAUAUAUGUUUUUAUUUAUGAAAUGGGACUUUUAGACUGUCUAUGAAGGACGUGGGGGGAUGUUUCUUAAUUUUAAGUUGGAAAAUUUCAGCCACACCAAGUAUAAAUUAGUUCUAUAGAAUGGCUCAAAAAUAUGAGCAUCCCAAUGAUUAUUUAUAAUUUCUUGUUACAGUCUACCAUAUAUCUCUGCUACGUAUAUUAUUCUAAAAGGUGUAAUAACCAUUGGUUUUUCUAAUGUCAAAUUCUUUAGAAGAUCUCAGGCUUUUUACCUCCAUUUAGUUUUUAAUAUAAUUAUAGUCAAGAUUUAGUGAAAAUCGUUGCAUCAUGGGCACAAGACAGAUUCUGAAAGAAGCCCUAAGAGUAAAAAUAAUUGGCUAAUGUAUAUUUUAUUUUUGGUAUGGUAAUUUUCAGUCCUUCAAUUUCAUUCGGCUCUGUUUUAUUUCCAUUUUUCAGCUGAGAUUUCCUAUAUUUUAAAUUCACUGUGAGUACAUUUCCCUUUAUGUCCCUAAGCAUAAUUACAAUAAUUGCUUUAAAAUCUUUGGUACUAAAUAAAAUAUCUAGAUUAUCUCCAUCGGUUUUAUCUAUUCAUUAUGGGUUAGAUUUUGCUGUUUCUUCAUCUCUUGAAUAAUUUUGAAUUAUAUUUUGGGCAUUGUAAGUAAUGUAGAGAUUCUGGAUUCUGUUUUCUUUCUCUAAAGAAUGUUCAUUUUGUUUACUAUUUUGUUUUAAAACAGUAAACUUUAGCUCAACUCAGACUCCAAUCUCUUAUCUCACCUUUGGUGGGUAGCAGUUGAAAUCUUUUUACUUCUUUUAGUGUAGGGUUUCUCACUUCUGCAUUGCUGACAUUCUGGGCUGGACGAUUGUUGUGGAUACUGUUCGGUGCCUGGUAGGACGCCCAGCAGUACCCCUUGCCUCUACCUGUACAAUGCCCAUAGUGCCUUCCUCCUCCAGAGGAAGAUGCCACCAGAUAAAUGGCCAGCUGUCUCCCAAGAGGCCUAAUUGCCCCAAUUGAGAAGCCACUGUUCUGGUGUUAGCUAGGCAAAGUCUGACCUGUGCACCUAAUUCAGGGGGUCCACCAGAGAUUCGGUCAGAGUUUUGACUCUGUCUUCUUCCCAGGAUUUCCUUUCUCAUUUUCUAGCUGCUCGGGUCUCUUUGAACUCAGUCCUCUGGUUCUUCAAGCCAGUAAGACUGGAAGUGGAGUUUGUAGACAGUGUUAGCCACUCCAUGUGGUUCAGUCUGCCGAAAAGGGGAAAGUCACUUGCUACCAUUCCUUCUUGUCAAGUGUAGACUCUUGCCCCCUCUCUAAGUUCUUAGCUCCAUUUAGUAGCUUUUUUUUAUCUAGUAACAUUUAUUUUUAGCAGAUUUUAAUAUUUUCUUCAUAAUUCUGGUUGUUAGUUUUUGGAUGGAGAGAUGUGUUGGUUUGGGAGGAGCUUUGUUACUGCCCAGAGUGGAACCUAAUGAGUAUUUAGGGCAUAAAACUUCACCAUCUUUUGUCACCCGGCUCUUAUUUGUGCUUGACUUAGGUUUGCAUUGUCUGUCUAUUAAAAUUGGAUGGCUUAGCAUCUGGUGCUAAAUCACUUUGUGGGAGACGUUGAUUUUAAUAUGUUACUUAAUUGACUAAUGAAAUGUCACCUAUUUUCUCAGUGAUUCCAAUGUUUGUGUGUUGUAAAUUGUUCCCAAUUUAUUAAUUAAUGGCUUUGUGUUUUAUACUGUUUUAAAAGUACUAAUGUUUGUAAUCUCUUCCCUCAAAUUUAUAAACACUGAACAUCUUCUUAAAAAUGUAAAGGCAUGAAAGGUCUUUAUUAUUUCUUUUCUCAGUUGACAUUUACGUUGAAGCCUUGUCCAAAAUCAGUUUUAAAACUUGACAGAAAUGGGGUGCCCGGGUGGCUCAGUCAGUUAAGCAUCCAACUCUUGAUUUUGGCUCAGGUCAUGAUCCCACAGUUGAUGAGAUCGAGCCCGACUUUGGGCUCUGCACUGAUAGCGUGCAGCCUGACUUGGGAUUCUCUCCCUCUCUCUCUCUGCCCUUCUCCGUCUUCACGUGCACACUUUCUCUCUCUCUCUCUCUCUCUCUCUCUCUCUCUCUCUCUCUCAAAAUAAAUACAUAAACUUAAAAAAAAAAAACUUUACAGAAAUGUUCCUAAACUGUCCUUGUUAAUUUCCUUUAGGGAAUGAGUUAGGAUGAGAUGAGACAGGAAAGUAAGAGGAGGAAAGGACCAGGAAAUUACCAGAUUAAAGAAAGUCCAAAUGUGUCUUUUCUUUGAAAGGUGAGCUGAGGGUUCUCAGUAAAAUGUUGUGACGAUGACAUAUGUGCAAUAUGUUGGCAGCAAGGGGAAAAAGCAUCACAGAUUAAAGUUGGAUUACGGACGUCUCUCCACUUUUAGACAAGAAUGUUCACUUCUUCAAAGAAGGUUAAGAAUACUGCUUGAAAAUGUUGCUUUUGAUUGAUUUUAUGUAAUUUUCUUCCUAACAUUUUCCCUUCAUCAGUUCAAUGAAAUGUAACUAAAAAUGUUAAUGAAGAUUAUAUAAACAAAUUUCACUCUCCUUAAAGUGACUGGGCCUAGGUUUGCACGUGCGCGUGCACACACACACACACACACACACACACACACACCCCAGUUUUGUUUGUUUUGUUUUGGUAGAAUGGAGAUUGUGUGUAAGAUGGUUUAGGGCUGAGUAAAGUAACAUGAAGUGGCUGUCAAGAACCUGACUUGUGGCUGCUGUUGUAAUGGUGGUUGGCCGCCACUCAUGGUGGAAGGGGUGGGAGUAAUUACUUAGAAAAAAACUAAGGAUAAUUACAAGUUUUUAUGUUUCUGGUAGUUUCUUGUACUAGCAGAAGAUUGCUAUCCAAAUAUUUUUUA
Molecule: long non-coding RNA, 9083 nt
Organism: Neofelis nebulosa (Clouded leopard)
Lineage: Eukaryota; Metazoa; Chordata; Mammalia; Carnivora; Felidae
Exons: 2
Source: RefSeq, a predicted model, not a curated record